RNAcentral lists this ribosomal RNA (301 nucleotides) under uncultured bacterium. RNAcentral's name for it is "partial 16S ribosomal RNA". It matches the Rfam family "Bacterial small subunit ribosomal RNA", at positions 509 to 807 of the family's 1533-position model. The record is from RNAcentral.
CAGCAGCCGCGGUAAGACAGAGGAUGCAAGCGUUAUCCGGAAUGAUUGGGCGUAAAGCGUCUGUAGGUGGCUUUUCAAGUCCGCCGUCAAAUCCCAGGGCUCAACCCUGGACAGGCGGUGGAAACUACCAAGCUGGAGUACGGUAGGGGCAGAGGGAAUUUCCGGUGGAGCGGUGAAAUGCAUUGAGAUCGGAAAGAACUCCAACGGCGAAAGCACCCUGCUGGGCCGACACUGACACUGAGAGACGAAAGCUAGGGGAGCAAAUGGGAUUAGAUACCCGCGUAGUCCCUGUCUCUUAUAC